GGACCUUCGGGCCUCUCGCGUCAGGAUAUGCCUAGGUGGGAUUAGCUAGUUGGUGAGGUAAGGGCUCACCAAGGCGACGAUCCCUAGCUGGUCUGAGAGGAUGAUCAGCCACACUGGAACUGAGACACGGUCCAGACUCCUACGGGAGGCAGCAGUGGGGAAUAUUGCACAAUGGGCGCAAGCCUGAUGCAGCCAUGCCGCGUGUGUGAAGAAGGCCUUCGGGUUGUAAAGCACUUUCAGUCGUGAGGAAGGUAGUGUAGUUAAUAGCUGCAUUAUUUGACGUUAGCGACAGAAGAAGCACCGGCUAACUCCGUGCCAGCAGCCGCGGUAAUACGGAGGGUGCGAGCGUUAAUCGGAAUUACUGGGCGUAAAGCGCAUGCAGGUGGUUUGUUAAGUCAGAUGUGAAAGCCCGGGGCUCAACCUCGGAAUUGCAUUUGAAACUGGCAGACUAGAGUACUGUAGAGGGGGGUAGAAUUUCAGGUGUAGCGGUGAAAUGCGUAGAGAUCUGAAGGAAUACCGGUGGCGAAGGCGGCCCCCUGGACAGAUACUGACACUCAGAUGCGAAAGCGUGGGGAGCAAACAGGAUUAGAUACCCUGGUAGUCCACGCCGUAAACGAUGUCUACUUGGAGGUUGUGGCCUUGAGCCGUGGCUUUCGGAGCUAACGCGUUAAGUAGACCGCCUGGGGAGUACGGUCGCAAGAUUAAAACUCAAAUGAAUUGACGGGGGCCCGCACAAGCGGUGGAGCAUGUGGUUUAAUUCGAUGCAACGCGAAGAACCUUACCUACUCUUGACAUCCAGAGAACUUUCCAGAGAUGGAUUGGUGCCUUCGGGAACUCUGAGACAGGUGCUGCAUGGCUGUCGUCAGCUCGUGUUGUGAAAUGUUGGGUUAAGUCCCGCAACGAGCGCAACCCUUAUCCUUGUUUGCCAGCGAGUAAUGUCGGGAACUCCAGGGAGACUGCCGGUGAUAAACCGGAGGAAGGUGGGGACGACGUCAAGUCAUCAUGGCCCUUACGAGUAGGGCUACACACGUGCUACAAUGGCGCAUACAGAGGGCAGCCAACUUGCGAAAGUGAGCGAAUCCCAAAAAGUGCGUCGUAGUCCGGAUUGGAGUCUGCAACUCGACUCCAUGAAGUCGGAAUCGCUAGUAAUCGUGGAUCAGAAUGCCACGGUGAAUACGUUCCCGGGCCUUGUACACACCGCCCGUCACACCAUGGGAGUGGGCUGCAAAAGAAGUAGGUAGUUUAACCUUCGGGGGGACGCUUACCACUUUGUGGUUCAUGACUGGGGUGAAGUCGUAACAAGGUAGCGCUAGGGGAACCUGGCGCUGGAUCACCUCCUUA
RNAcentral lists this ribosomal RNA (1341 nucleotides) under Vibrio parahaemolyticus. RNAcentral's name for it is "bacterial SSU rRNA". It matches the Rfam family "Bacterial small subunit ribosomal RNA", at positions 198 to 1533 of the family's 1533-position model. Lineage: Bacteria; Pseudomonadati; Pseudomonadota; Gammaproteobacteria; Vibrionales; Vibrionaceae. The record is from RNAcentral.